RNAcentral lists this ribosomal RNA (253 nucleotides) under Oscillibacter ruminantium GH1. RNAcentral describes it as "partial 16S ribosomal RNA". It matches the Rfam family "Bacterial small subunit ribosomal RNA", at positions 524 to 776 of the family's 1533-position model. Lineage: Bacteria; Bacillati; Bacillota; Clostridia; Eubacteriales; Oscillospiraceae. The record is from RNAcentral. RNAcentral also lists the same sequence under 1 other name.
UACGUAGGUGGCAAGCGUUGUCCGGAUUUACUGGGUGUAAAGGGCGUGCAGCCGGGCCGGCAAGUCAGAUGUGAAAUCUGGAGGCUUAACCUCCAAACUGCAUUUGAAACUGUUGGUCUUGAGUACCGGAGAGGUUAUCGGAAUUCCUUGUGUAGCGGUGAAAUGCGUAGAUAUAAGGAAGAACACCAGUGGCGAAGGCGGAUAACUGGACGGCAACUGACGGUGAGGCGCGAAAGCGUGGGGAGCAAACAGG